AAUCAAAGGAUUCAAGCACCAAAUCACAGAAUGCUGAUCCAAGGAAAGAAGGAAGGAAAGGAAAACAAAGAUUCAGAAUAGGUUGAAGUCUAUUUAAAUUCUGUUCUUCUCUUUUCACUUUUCUUUCGAUGAAAGCUAUUAGACUUUGCCUUGGAUGUUCAAUCCACUUAUGUUUGCUGAGUUUACUUAACUUCACUCAGAUAAGAUGGAGGUGAAGGCAACUUAACUAAGUAAGAAUAGAGUGAAAAAUAAGAAUUAUCUGAUGGUCGGCAGCGUCUCAUAUUUAAAUAUUCUUCCUUGUACGGGACUGUCUUUAUUGAUGGAAAAAUUGCGUAAUUUUUGUUCAGCCAAGAACAUUGACACGAUCAUACAGUGGGUCUGUCCAGUUUUCACAAGCUGCUAAGCUCCUGAAGUAACGUUAUAACGUCGAAUCUUUGAUGAAAAGUGGAAGCGAUCAUCCCAUUUUUCCCCGUUCUUCCGCUUGUCGUUCGUUCAUGAAGGCAACCACUUGAGGAGAUUUGGUUGACCCCACGUUUCCAUUCAAUAUAUCGGAAGUAUCACCUAGUAGCAUUUGUACCUCACACUACAACUUGAAAUGCCACUAACCCUAUAUGUUUGAAUUAAUCCGACUUCGCAACUGCCUGUGUCUUGUGCCUCGCACAUAGACUGAUGUCAAGGAUAAAAAUUAUCAGACGAAAUUUUUAUCUGAUAGCUAGUUACUUUAUUGAGCACGCUAACCUUACAUACGUCAAAUGUUAUUUUACCUACGAAAUGAAAUAAUAUGUCUAUUGCAUAGAGAACAUUGUAUUCAUGAAGAGUCUAUACUAUUCUUAUUGUUCUUCUAAUACUUAACUUACUUUUUGUGGCCCAUGCACUAUUUUUUCCAACUGUAACUAUGACUGCAAUUUUCGUGACUGUGCGCCGAUCACACGGCGGGGGUACAGUGUAGUAUAGGGUUAUAGGAUAAAACUGACAGUGUGUAACAAAAACAGAAAUGUCACCAGGUUUUACUAUAGCUACUUAGUAAGCCCAAGCCAAAGAAGCACGGGUACUGACCCGAUACUUUCAUCUCUUGAUCGAGUGUAUAAGGGAACACUUGGGGAGCAAAGACCCAUUUUGGAACUUGUUGAUUUCCUGAUGAUUCCUAAUUUUUCUAAUAAUAUGUUUCUUUAUUAAACAGAUCAACUAUCGUACACACCCUGACGCUUGUCCUUGGAUUACGGGAAUACUCAGCUCAAAAAAUAACAAAAUAAUGCGACGGAAGGAGAGCACAGUGUGAGAUCUGAUAGCACAAACUGGUAAAAGUCGGUUUAUCAAUUUGACCUGUACUACCCAUCGCAUGAUCUUAAAUUACGCCUUUUCAUGCACAAAAAUGGAAAAUCUUUCAAGAAAGGAAAAUUUACUCUAACAGACGAUAUUGUCUCACUAUCCCAUGUUUGUAUUAUGUGCAGACUAAUUAACUUAACGUUCUUUUUAAACUACGUUAUACUUGCUUAUAGGAGACAACGUGCUUAACUGAAAUGUUAACAGUUGCAUACUUAGACUUAUCUUGGAUAGUGAGUUUGGCCCCUUUACCCUAUAUGCCAAAAGAUGACCCAGGGGGUUAAUAUUAAGGCCUAAAAGGUAGGAGGAAGCAAGAAAUGGUAAAAUGGCACGUGCCAAGCCAAACAAGAAGAGAUGAUAGACACGCAGCUAAAGAACAUAGCAAGCUUAAAGAACAAAUAACAAAGCAUUUUGGUUGGGAAAUUGAUCAGUUGAAGAAAGUUAUUAAAGUUAAUGAUUAUUAUAGAUUU
This 1793-nucleotide long non-coding RNA is filed under the name Schizosaccharomyces pombe (fission yeast). The record is from RNAcentral. Lineage: Eukaryota; Fungi; Ascomycota; Schizosaccharomycetes; Schizosaccharomycetales; Schizosaccharomycetaceae.